UAAGCCUGUGAAGGUGUGUCGUGAGGCAUGCUGGAGGUAUCAGAAGUGCGAAUGCUGACAUAAGUAACGAUAAAGCGGGUGAAAAGCCCGCUCGCCGGAAGACCAAGGGUUCCUGUCCAACGUUAAUCGGGGCAGGGUGAGUCGACCCCUAAGGCGAGGCCGAAAGGCGUAGUCGAUGGGAAACGGGUUAAUAUUCCCGUACUUGGUGUUACUGCGAAGGGGGGACGGAGAAGGCUAUGUUGGCCGGGCGACGGUUGUCCCGGUUUAAGCGUGUAGGUGUGUGUUCCAGGUAAAUCCGGUUCACUUUAACACUGAGGCGUGAUGACGAGGCACUACGGUGCUGAAGCAACAAAUGCCCUGCUUCCAGGAAAAGCCUCUAAGCAUCAGGUAACAUCAAAUCGUACCCCAAACCGACACAGGUGGUCAGGUAGAGAAUACCAAGGCGCUUGAGAGAACUCGGGUGAAGGAACUAGGCAAAAUGGUGCCGUAACUUCGGGAGAAGGCACGCUGACACGUAGGUGAAGUGAUUUACUCAUGGAGCUGAAGUCAGUCGAAGAUACCAGCUGGCUGCAACUGUUUAUUAAAAACACAGCACUGUGCAAACACGAAAGUGGACGUAUACGGUGUGACGCCUGCCCGGUGCCGGAAGGUUAAUUGAUGGGGUCAGCGCAAGCGAAGCUCCUGAUCGAAGCCCCGGUAAACGGCGGCCGUAACUAUAACGGUCCUAAGGUAGCGAAAUUCCUUGUCGGGUAAGUUCCGACCUGCACGAAUGGCGUAAUGAUGGCCAGGCUGUCUCCACCCGAGACUCAGUGAAAUUGAACUCGCUGUGAAGAUGCAGUGUACCCGCGGCAAGACGGAAAGACCCCGUGAACCUUUACUAUAGCUUGACACUGAACAUUGAGCCUUGAUGUGUAGGAUAGGUGGGAGGCUUUGAAGCGUGGACGCCAGUCUGCGUGGAGCCGACCUUGAAAUACCACCCUUUAAUGUUUGAUGUUCUAACGUGGACCCGUGAUCCGGGUUGCGGACAGUGUCUGGUGGGUAGUUUGACUGGGGCGGUCUCCUCCUAAAGAGUAACGGAGGAGCACGAAGGUUGGCUAAUCCUGGUCGGACAUCAGGAGGUUAGUGCAAUGGCAUAAGCCAGCUUGACUGCGAGCGUGACGGCGCGAGCAGGUGCGAAAGCAGGUCAUAGUGAUCCGGUGGUUCUGAAUGGAAGGGCCAUCGCUCAACGGAUAAAAGGUACUCCGGGGAUAACAGGCUGAUACCGCCCAAGAGUUCAUAUCGACGGCGGUGUUUGGCACCUCGAUGUCGGCUCAUCACAUCCUGGGGCUGAAGUAGGUCCCAAGGGUAUGGCUGUUCGCCAUUUAAAGUGGUACGCGAGCUGGGUUUAGAACGUCGUGAGACAGUUCGGUCCCUAUCUGCCGUGGGCGCUGGAGAACUGAGGGGGGCUGCUCCUAGUACGAGAGGACCGGAGUGGACGCAUCACUGGUGUUCGGGUUGUCAUGCCAAUGGCACUGCCCGGUAGCUAAAUGCGGAAGAGAUAAGUGCUGAAAGCA
RNAcentral lists this ribosomal RNA (1553 nucleotides) under Salmonella enterica subsp. enterica serovar Newport. RNAcentral's name for it is "partial 23S ribosomal RNA". It matches the Rfam family "Bacterial large subunit ribosomal RNA", at positions 1243 to 2779 of the family's 2925-position model. The record is from RNAcentral. Lineage: Bacteria; Pseudomonadati; Pseudomonadota; Gammaproteobacteria; Enterobacterales; Enterobacteriaceae.